AUUGAACGCUGGCGGCAUGCCUUACACAUGCAAGUCGAACGGUAACAGGUCUUCGGAUGCUGACGAGUGGCGCACGGGUGCGUAAUACAUCGGAACGUGCCCGAUCGUGGGGGAUAACGAAGCGAAAGCUUUGCUAAUACCGCAUACGAUCUACGGAUGAAAGCAGGGGACCGCAAGGCCUUGCGCGAACGGAGCGGCCGAUGGCAGAUUAGGUAGUUGGUGGGAUAAAAGCUUACCAAGCCGACGAUCUGUAGCUGGUCUGAGAGGACGACCAGCCACACUGGGACUGAGACACGGCCCAGACUCCUACGGGAGGCAGCAGUGGGGAAUUUUGGACAAUGGGCGAAAGCCUGAUCCAGCCAUGCCGCGUGCAGGAUGAAGGCCUUCGGGUUGUAAACUGCUUUUGUACGGAACGAAAAGACUCUGGUUAAUACCUGGGGUCCAUGACGGUACCGUAAGAAUAAGCACCGGCUAACUACGUG
RNAcentral lists this ribosomal RNA (482 nucleotides) under uncultured bacterium. RNAcentral describes it as "partial 16S ribosomal RNA". It matches the Rfam family "Bacterial small subunit ribosomal RNA", at positions 30 to 507 of the family's 1533-position model. The record is from RNAcentral.